CCUACGGGGGGCAGCAGUGAGGAAUAUUGGUCAAUGGGCGCGAGCCUGAACCAGCCAAGUAGCGUGAAGGAUGACUGCCCUACGGGUUGUAAACUUCUUUUAUAAAGGAAUAAAGUGAGGCACGUGUGCCUUUUUGUAUGUACUUUAUGAAUAAGGAUCGGCUAACUCCGUGCCAGCAGCCGCGGUAAUACGGAGGGUCCGAGCGUUAUCCGGAUUUAUUGGGCUGAAAGGGAGCGUAGAUGGGUUGGUAAGUCAGAUGGGAAAGUUUGCGGCUCAACCGUAAAAUUGCAAUUGAUACUGGCAGUCUUGAGUGCAGUUGAGGUAGGCGGAAUUCGUGGUGUAGCGGUGAAAUGCUUAGAUAUCACGAAGAACUCCGAUUGCGAAGGCAGCUUACUAAACUGCCACUGACAUUGAUGCUCGAAAGUGUGGGUAUCAAACAGGAUUAGAUACCCGAGUAGUC
RNAcentral lists this ribosomal RNA (460 nucleotides) under uncultured bacterium. RNAcentral's name for it is "partial 16S ribosomal RNA". It matches the Rfam family "Bacterial small subunit ribosomal RNA", at positions 338 to 795 of the family's 1533-position model. The record is from RNAcentral.